RNAcentral lists this ribosomal RNA (235 nucleotides) under uncultured bacterium. Its description in RNAcentral is "partial 16S ribosomal RNA". It matches the Rfam family "Bacterial small subunit ribosomal RNA", at positions 99 to 334 of the family's 1533-position model. The record is from RNAcentral.
CGGACGGGUGAGUAACGCGUGGGUAACCUACCCUGUACACACGGAUAACAUACCGAAAGGUAUGCUAAUACGGGAUAAUAUAUUUGAGAGGCAUCUCUUGAAUAUCAAAGGUGAGCCAGUACAGGAUGGACCCGCGUCUGAUUAGCUAGUUGGUAAGGUAACGGCUUACCAAGGCGACGAUCAGUAGCCGACCUGAGAGGGUGAUCGGCCACAUUGGGACUGAGACAUGGCCCAA